AUACGGAGGGUCCGAGCGUUAAUCGGAAUUACUGGGCGUAAAGCGUACGUAGGUGGCUUGAUUAGUCGGAUGUGAAAGCCCUGGGCUCAACCUGGGAACUGCAUUCGAUACUGGCAAACUAGAGUAUAGUAGAGGCAAGUGGAAUUCCGGGUGUAGCGGUGAAAUGCGUAGAUAUCCGGAGGAACAUCAGUGGCGAAGGCGACUUGCUGGACUAAUACUGACGCUGAGGAGCGAAAGCGUGGGGAGCAAACGGGAUUAGAAACCCCAGUAGUCC
Molecule: ribosomal RNA, 274 nt
Filed under: uncultured bacterium
Lineage: Bacteria
Description: partial 16S ribosomal RNA
Rfam family: Bacterial small subunit ribosomal RNA
Source: RNAcentral